GCUUGUACAACGUUUUUGGUCUGAGAUCCCUUUCUGGGAUCUCAGACCAAAAACGUUGUACUAGCUAAUGUAAGUGUACAUAUAUUUAUGGUCUGAAAUCCAUUAUUAAGUUAAUAAUUUUUUCAAAAACACCACGAACUCAACAAUAAACGUUCAUAACAAAGAAUUAUAGGUUAAAUACGCCAUUUAAUCUGACCGUUCAUAUUUGAACCUUCGAAAAACUGUACGAGAGUCCGGAAAGCUUUCAUUGGCUGAUCCUUAUACGCAUUCCGGAUUCCAGACGUCUAUUCCGCUGCAUGUGAUCGUAGCCUAAAUGUUUGGCCGGCCUGUUCCCAUGAUGCGUCAUAGAUGGACGAUGACGCAUUCGAAAUGAAAAUAAUAAAUGUAAUACAACUUUUAUUAAAAUAAAUCAGUUUUUAUAAAAUAUAAUAUUUGUAUAAUAACAAUAAUAAUCAUUAAUAUAAUGUUAUAUAAAAUUUUGUAUUGAAUAUUAUAAAGUUAAAAACAAUAUUUUCAAAUUUUUGAACUUCAUUGACGUAUUCUUAGUCAUUUUUCCGCACCAUGUGAACAGGCCGGUCAAAAAUUUGCGGAAUGCGGAAUGCGUAAUACAGCCUCGGUCAUACACGCCAUGCAAUAUGUUGAAGUUUUUUGAUAAAACUUUGUUUUUUGUCAGAAAAUAGUGAAGAUUGCGAAUAUGGAAAAUUAAAUAGUGAUGGUUUAAGAGUCUAUUAAAGUUUUAAUGAUAGUAUACGUGAGAACUCCAAUGCUCCAGUAUUGAAAGGAAAAAAUACGAUUUGCUUUAGUGAAAUUAUUGUUAUUGUAUACAAAAUUAUCAAAAGAGAAAUCCAAAAGAAGGAUGUGGUUAGGCCUGUUUAUUCAAUUGAGCAGCGUUUUUUUCAAAGAGAUAGUGACAAUUUAGUUAAUAUGUUACGAAUGGCAGAUCCUUUACUAUAUUUUAAUUAUUUAAGAAUGAAUACUAGCAUCUUUGAAGAUCUACAUUAAUAGUAGGACCUGAAAUUGAAAAACAAUUACAUAUUAGAGAACCAAUUAUUUCAUAUACAAGACUGCAAAUAUGCUUAAGGUAUUUAGCAAGUGGAGAUAGCAAUUGGAUAUGCUUUUCGAGUUGCACCAAAUACUGUCUGAGAAAUAGUUCACGAAACUUGCAAAGAAAUAUGGCUCAAAUUAAAAGAUUUAGUUAUACUUGUACCUGACAAAGAUGGAUGAAUGAAAAUUGCUGAAGAGUUUGAAGCAAUCUGGAAUUUUCCCCAUUGCAUUGGUGCUAUAGAUGGGAAACAUAUUCAGAUAGAGGCUCCACCUCACAGUGAUUCCACAUAUUUCAAUUACAAAAAAACACAUAGUAUAAAAUCUUACUGCUGUUUCUGAUGCACGUUACAAAUUUAUUUUGGAUGUGGGAGCGGAAGGUCGAUGUAAUGAUGCAGGAGCAUUUGCUAACAGUAAAUUAAAAGCAAGACUUGAAAGAAAUACUUUAGAUAUACCUCCACCUUCUAAAGUUUGCCAAUAUGAAUUGCCAUUUGUUUUGGUAGAUGAUGAGGCAUAUCCAUUAUCACCUUAUUUGAUGCGUCCUUAUCUAAGAUGUUCACAACUAGACCUAAUAAAAAAA
Long non-coding RNA from Monomorium pharaonis (pharaoh ant), 1621 nucleotides. RefSeq lists it as uncharacterized. NCBI's taxonomy places the organism in Eukaryota, Metazoa, Arthropoda, Insecta, Hymenoptera, Formicidae. The record is from RefSeq and is a predicted model, not a curated record. The transcript is spliced from 2 exons.